This 253-nucleotide ribosomal RNA is filed under the name uncultured bacterium. RNAcentral's name for it is "partial 16S ribosomal RNA". It matches the Rfam family "Bacterial small subunit ribosomal RNA", at positions 524 to 776 of the family's 1533-position model. The record is from RNAcentral.
UACGUAGGUGACCAGCGUUGUCCGGAUUUACUGGGCGUAAAGAGCGCGCAGGCGGUCGUUCAAGUCGAGUGUGAAAGCCCCCGGCUCAACUGGGGAGGGUCACUCGAUACUGAUCGACUUGAAGGCAGGAGAGGGAAGCGGAAUUCCCGGUGUAGUGGUGAAAUGCGCAGAUAUCAGGAGGAACACCGGUGGCGAAGGCGGUUCUCUGGGCAUGUUCUGACGCUGAGGAGCGAAAGUGUGGGGAGCGAACAGG